GAGUUUGAUCCUGGCUCAGGACGAACGCUGGCGGCGUGCCUAAUACAUGCAAGUAGAACGCUGAAGAGAGGAGCUUGCUCUUCUUGGAUGAGUUGCGAACGGGUGAGUAACGCGUAGGUAACCUGCCUUGUAGCGGGGGAUAACUAUUGGAAACGAUAGCUAAUACCGCAUAACAAUAGGUGACACAUGUCAUUUAUUUGAAAGGGGCAAUUGCUCCACUACAAGAUGGACCUGCGUUGUAUUAGCUAGUAGGUGAGGUAACGGCUCACCUAGGCGACGAUACAUAGCCGACCUGAGAGGGUGAUCGGCCACACUGGGACUGAGACACGGCCCAGACUCCUACGGGAGGCAGCAGUAGGGAAUCUUCGGCAAUGGGGGCAACCCUGACCGAGCAACGCCGCGUGAGUGAAGAAGGUUUUCGGAUCGUAAAGCUCUGUUGUAAGUCAAGAACGAGUGUGAGAGUGGAAAGUUCACACUGUGACGGUAGCUUACCAGAAAGGGACGGCUAACUACGUGCCAGCAGCCGCGGUAAUACGUAGGUCCCGAGCGUUGUCCGGAUUUAUUGGGCGUAAAGCGAGCGCAGGCGGUUUGAUAAGUCUGAAGUUAAAGGCUGUGGCUCAACCAUAGUUCGCUUUGGAAACUGUCAAACUUGAGUGCAGAAGGGGAGAGUGGAAUUCCAUGUGUAGCGGUGAAAUGCGUAGAUAUAUGGAGGAACACCGGUGGCGAAAGCGGCUCUCUGGUCUGUAACUGACGCUGAGGCUCGAAAGCGUGGGGAGCGAACAGGAUUAGAUACCCUGGUAGUCCACGCCGUAAACGAUGAGUGCUAGGUGUUGGAUCCUUUCCGGGAUUCAGUGCCGCAGCUAACGCAUUAAGCACUCCGCCUGGGGAGUACGACCGCAAGGUUGAAACUCAAAGGAAUUGACGGGGGCCCGCACAAGCGGUGGAGCAUGUGGUUUAAUUCGAAGCAACGCGAAGAACCUUACCAGGUCUUGACAUCCCGAUGCUAUUUCUAGAGAUAGAAAGUUACUUCGGUACAUCGGUGACAGGUGGUGCAUGGUUGUCGUCAGCUCGUGUCGUGAGAUGUUGGGUUAAGUCCCGCAACGAGCGCAACCCCUAUUGUUAGUUGCCAUCAUUCAGUUGGGCACUCUAGCGAGACUGCCGGUAAUAAACCGGAGGAAGGUGGGGAUGACGUCAAAUCAUCAUGCCCCUUAUGACCUGGGCUACACACGUGCUACAAUGGUUGGUACAACGAGUUGCGAGUCGGUGACGGCAAGCUAAUCUCUUAAAGCCAAUCUCAGUUCGGAUUGUAGGCUGCAACUCGCCUACAUGAAGUCGGAAGCGCUAGUAAUCGCGGAUCAGCACGCCGCGGUGAAUACGUUCCCGGGCCUUGCACACACCGCCCGUC
Molecule: ribosomal RNA, 1405 nt
Filed under: uncultured bacterium
Lineage: Bacteria
Description: bacterial SSU rRNA
Rfam family: Bacterial small subunit ribosomal RNA
Source: RNAcentral